UAUUGGACAAUGGGGGCAACCCUGAUCCAGCAAUGCCGCGUGUGUGAAGAAGGCCUGAGGGUUGUAAAGCACUUUCAGUGGGGACGACGGUUGACAGGUUAAGAGCUAGUUAAUUGGACGUUACCCACAGAAGAAGCACCGGCUAACUCCGUGCCAGCAGCCGCGGUAAUACGGAGGGUGCGAGCGUUAAUCGGAAUUACUGGGCGUAAAGGGUGCGUAGGUGGUUUAUUAAGUUAGCUGUGAAAUUCCUGGGCUUAACCUGGGCAGGUCAGCUAAGACUGGUAGACUCGAGUAUGGGAGAGGGUAGUGGAAUUUCCGGUGUAGCGGUGAAAUGCGUAGAGAUCGGAAGGAACACCAGGGCGAAGGCGGCUACCUGCCUUAUACUACACGAGGCACGAAA
Molecule: ribosomal RNA, 400 nt
Filed under: uncultured bacterium
Lineage: Bacteria
Description: bacterial SSU rRNA
Rfam family: Bacterial small subunit ribosomal RNA
Source: RNAcentral